Girardinichthys multiradiatus is the source of this 852-nucleotide long non-coding RNA. RefSeq lists it as uncharacterized. The record is from RefSeq and is a predicted model, not a curated record. NCBI's taxonomy places the organism in Eukaryota, Metazoa, Chordata, Actinopteri, Cyprinodontiformes, Goodeidae. The transcript has 3 exons.
AGAAAAGUCUGGAAGUAAGUGUUUCUAUGCAUCCGGUGUGCGUCGCAAUUUUGUGAAAUAGGUCAAUCUACUUCAAUGGAUAGCUCAACUCAGCAAAGUACAAUGACAAUGGAUAAUUCAAACUAUCUUGAAGCAACUCUCUGAGCAAUAACUGAAAUCACAAAGGACGGCAUCCGAGUGAGGCGGCGAUGACAAGCAGCAGGACACAGAGGGACCAAGGAUGGAGAGACGCAAGGGCAGCAUAACGUGGAAAGCAGGGAGAUUGUACCUACUGCUGGUUAAGUUGCUCCUCUCUUUUGAUGUGUAUUUGAAAAACAAACACUGCGAGGGAAGACAGCGAUAAGUCAAAACACACGGUGAGUUUAUUUUCCUCUAAACCUACAUCCUGGUCAGCAACACCAGUUUGGGAAAAAGAAAGUUGGAACGUAAGCAUCAUAAUUCUCUAUGGAAAUGCUCAUAUCUUUAUCAUGAGGCACAUCAAUGAGAAACUUCUCAGCUAACACACGGAGCACACCAGAGGAGACGUGUCUGGUGCCACAGGGAGCACUGACCUUGAGCUCGGGUACAUUCCUGGUACCCAUUUUAAGGUUUUCCAUCAGCUGUCCAUCAUUCUGGACGGUAUGAGAAGCAUGCACAUGUACUGCUGCAGCUAAUACCUUUUCUUCAUGAAGGAGUUCAUCUCAACUUUUUAUGCUACACAAAGUCUACAGCAAAAAUAAAGUCUGUAAACAAAUAACAAGAACUGCUUUUCCUUACAUUUUUUCUAAAGUUUUUCAGGGGGUAUGUUAAAUUCCACUAAGUAUGAAACAACAUAAUACAGAAAUCAGCAAAGUGAAUGUAUGCUCUGGAAAA